AGUUGGAUCCACACCAUUUGUGUUUCUAUCCGGUCGAAUCACUAUUGAGAUUCAGGUGAUUCUCGCUAAUCAACAGAACAACGGAAAAUGAAGGGCACAUCAUCUGUUGGAUCAUUUCGAUCAUUCGCCAUUGAUCGAUGAAUAAAUGGUGGCAGGUGAUUUAACUACACAUAAACAUUAAUUAGGAUCUUAGAAGGCUAGUAGGAAAGAGGCAUGUAAACUUCGAUUCAAUGUCUCAACCGUAUGAGACUAAAUACUGAGGAGCACCAGCUCUCGUCCCUGGUGCAAUUGAAGCCGCUGGGCACUGGCCUAGACAUGGGCCACGGACCCAUUCCAAAGAUUUAAACUGAGCCUCGUUCCCGCCGACGGCUCAAUGGCAAUUCCGCAAAUACCCCGUAUCUGCACCCAAGAAAUUACCCCAUAUAAACUCGGCAUCCAUGUUUCUCCCAGAACUCAAGAACUCCCCUCUCCUCUCUCUCCUCCCACUCUCCCUCACCAACGGCGACCACGAACCACCCGCUCCUCCUCGCCGUCCUGCUCCUCUCGCUAUUCCCCCGCCGGGGGGACUGAAUCUCCGAUCGAGAGCUCGACGCCACCAUCUCCGCCCUCCGGCCUCGCGGUUACCAGUUCUUUGGCGACGCCAUCGCCGCGUCCGACCUUCGUUUUGACCUCCUCCGUCUCAACUCCUCCCACACCCUAUUCGCCCCCACCGACUUUGUCCUCUUUGCGCCUCCGCCGCCGCCGACUUCCGCUCUCUCCGCGAGCACGUCGCCCUCCGCCGCCGCCGACGUCCGCCCUCUCCGCGACCACGUCGCCCUCCGCCGCCGCCGACGUCCGCCCUCUCCGCGACCACGUCGCCCUCCGACGCCUCCCUCUUCCCGCCCUACCUCCCUCCCCACCGUCGUUCCCCACCGCGACAUCCGCCCUCGCCCGCCACCGCCAGCCCCGGAUCGCCGACUUCGCCAUCGCCGACGUCUGGAACGUCGUCCUCGCCCUCCACCGCCACAAGGCCUCUGGCAGACCCGUUCCUCCCCCAAGACCGCCCGAUCUCCAUCUCCCUCGGUACCCGUCCGCCGAUCCGCCUGAUACGCCAGCUUCGGCGCCGUCUCCGAUCGCGGAGCUCUUCCCAAUGUUGCCGGAGGCGCCGAUCCGGGAUCGAGAUCCACGUUUCCGGCGGUGGUUUCCCCGUCCUAUCUGGACGGAAUCCAGCUGCCAAUGGAGCCCGGAGUCGCGCCCAGAGGGAUAUCUUCGGCGAUCGAGGCUCCGAUUACCGGGGAGAUCAUGCAUCUGGGAGGGUAUCCCCCAGAAGGGACGACGAUGAAUUCUCCUGCGGCGAGUCCUACGGGGAUCGUGUCUCCUGAAGGGAGUCCGCUGAAAGGGAUCCAGGUGACGGCGUUUCCGAUGGCGAUGGGGUUUCUUGGAACCAAGCCUGAGCUCAUGGAUCGCCGUCCGUUGGGGGAGGAAGGGUCCCGCCUCUUCGCUAACUACCGUGGCCGCCCACGCCCGCGUCCGCAUGCCAGCGAUGACGCCUUAUGAUCGAUCAGAUGCCAAUCUUUAGGUCCCCGGGGGAACUUUUGCAAGAAUACAAGGGGCAUACCUGCAAGUCUUACAAGAUGAAUUGCUGCCCGACCAACACUGAUGCACAUGUUGCUGGUGGGUUUGAUGAUGGGUUUAUUUUCUUUUGGGAUUUAGUAGAUGCAUCUGUGGUUUCGAGAUUCCGAGCACAUGCCUCCGUGGUGUCCGAACGCAUACACUCAAUGGAGCCAGUCUCAUCAUUAACUUCUUGUGGGAUGCCUCUGGUAAGGUGUCCUUGCACAGUGGUGAGAACUCCAGCCGUGCACCUUCUUGAGAUUUGUUCAAAUCCUAAAAUUCAUGAGUUUGUCCAUUAAGCCUUUUGAUUGGUUGCUUUAGUUUCAGUUUGAGACGGUGCGCCACAACCCCACCCACCACAAGUCCUUAUCAAGUCCUGCAAAUCCCACAGCCGCGAAGCCUUUGACAUUUAUAUCCUAUCAUACUGUUCCUCUUCCAUUAUCACCUUUUCUAUAUUUAAUCGAGAGCUAGUAAAUUUUUCUUCCAUAACUAUUAGAAUAUAGAUAACUUUGUAUUAUAUAUCUUAAUGCAGGAUAAGGCGAAGCUAUGCUCGUGCAUUGGAAAUCGACAGGUGUUCUUUUGGGAUGUCAUGAUUGGGCGUGUCAUCAGGAAAUUCCGUGGUCAUGAUAGCGAAGUUAGAUUUCUACUUUUUCUUCUAACUUUGUAAAUUAUACUAUUUUUUCUUUCUAGAACUCGACUUAGCAUAUGUGAGAAAUAAAUACAUCAUCUUAAUUGAUCUUAUUUCAUAUAUAUUCUCCUUCAACAUAGCAUAGCAAAAGAUUAUGUAUAUCCGAUUAGUGCACAAACAAAUAGCUCAAAUAGUUUUGCGUUAGUAUAACAAAUGUCUAGGAUAUUAGAAAUCUGGUUCACAAAUAUUAAACAUCCUACACUAGGUUUUCUAUAUUCGUGGUCUCUAGAAGUUCUUGCACUUAGAUCUAGUUAAGAGCUAUUUAAUCUGAGUUUCAUAUAAUCAUUUUCCAAUAUGAGUUAUUAUACAAUCACGUCAUAUACAAAAUUAUGAAAGACAAGAAAUAUGAAAAUAAAGGAGAAAGAAUUAAAUUUAAUAUGGGAUAUAUUUAAAUGGAGCUGAAAAUAUCGCACCACCAACAAAAAGGCAACAUUUACACUAUAUAUAACCUCAGAAUCGAUUAAAGAUAUGGUAAUGAGUAAAGAAGAUGGCACAGAGCAUACUAAGAUUCGUACAAAAUGUGCGCAAGUAGCAAUUGGAGGACAAGAGGAUUGAAAUUUAGUUUGUUUUCUUUUUUAUUAUUCUAGUAAGCUAUAGCUUACCCAAGAAUGCCACCGAUUUAUGAAAAUAUAGUUAAAGUACAUUGUAGAGCAUGGUUAUCUAAAUUAAAUGCUUCACAGUACCUCCAUUCUGGGUCAAAAGACUUUAAUUUGUGGUCACAAUGUAAACCUAAAGUUUGCCAGAAAAAUGUUAUUGUCAAAUUUUUAAUUUGGCCGCCCACGACUGAACUAAAGUCAACAAUAGAAUAAUAAUAUUAAAGCAUAAAGAAGUCAAGUUUAGGAAAACAUUUAGAAUAUUGAGUUGUGAAAACAAAAUCAGAUUUAUCACUUUAGUGGAAAAAUGUAAGCAAGUUUUAAUAGUGACGCAGGCAAAGCAACAAAUUAAAUAAUUCAGAGGCAUAAAAUGUUCUACAGAAAAUGGAAACAAUAAUAAAACCCUCAAGGAAAAUUAAUACAACUAGAUUACCAUGCUAUGUUCCAGAAAAAUAUCAAGUAUUUUAAGUAAUAUCAAGUGAGCUAAGUAAGAUGCAUGCAAUAGAUCUCGCCAAUCAAAUGCCAAGUUUCCAUGCAUAUACAUCAGACAAUUCAAACUCACUCUGAGAAUCCACAAGAAGCUCUCCGUUGUUUUAAAAACAGAAAGCAUCCUCAACAGCCUUGGACUGUGUUUAGGUUCAGCUUUAUCCAAUUGCUUGAACUCCCCAACAAGAAAAGUUCAAAAUGUAAGGGUCUAUCUACCACCACAUUGUUCCACCAAAGCAAAAGCAUAUGCACUUGGAGCCAUUCUCUCCAGAAACUGCACUAUUCAAGACAUCACUAAGUCAUUAUUUAUAUAAACUGACCAUUUAGUUGAUAGUUGGACCCACUUGGCCUUGCUUCCUUUGGACAUGAAUCAAUUAAAUCUAACACAUUAAGAUAUAUAAAAGUUAAUCAAGCUGAAGCCAACUUUAAUUUAGCAAAUAAUAAACACUUCUUUUCUCUUAACUUUCUACUCUAUGCUUUUGUUAUUCUCCCUGACAUUUGCAAGGUGAGACCCUUUAGCAUCAUUUCAUUAUUUCAAUGACCUAGGUGGCUUACCACAGUUUCUCCAAUAGAAAUUAACAAAUAAUGAAAUCAAGGUCUACAGACACCUGAAUAAAAUGAAAACUCAUCCUUGAUGUCAAGGACACCAAUCCUACUAAUAAAUUCCACAAUUGCUAACAAUUUACUUCUGAUUGUUCUUUUUUUUUUGAAUAUGAGUGAAUUUGAAUAGAGAAGUAGGAAAAAAAUUUACCUUUUCCUUUGAAAGGAGCAAGAGGUCAUUUUCCAACACUUGUUCUCGGAACUCAUCAAGAACUGCCAAUGGCACGUUACGAAACCCAUCGGCUUCAACUAAGGAAGCCAUUUAAACCGGUAAAAAAAAUUGACUGUGUUUUGUAAUAUGUUGUGAUGAAAGAUUAGAUUUUUCAAUAAAGAAGGCUUUUGUUAAUAAGGGACUGUGAAUACCGUUGAUUCUCAGGUUAAUCAUGAUACGACUAUGUUAUCUUUUAGAUAGAUUUUUCUAUUAUUGAUAUGCUAAAGAAAAUUUUGAGUAUGUCAUGAUUAGGGUGAUUUGAUCAUUGGUUAAAUAUGAUCUAAAUUUUUAAGAAACCAAAUAAGUCUUGUGUUAAUUUUUCCCUCUUUAUGAUUUAUAAAUUUAAGUUAAAUUUAAAUCUUUGUGGCAUAUUGAAUCAUGGUAUCAAUACUUUGCCUUAUCGGACUUGCUCUUGUGAACUGAGGUCAAUCAUUUUUGAAAUAGACCAUUGGUGUUUAAUGACCAUCAUUACAUGUUCAUUUUGUGAAUCAUAUUUCCAGCCAUAUAAAGAUUUGAUACUAAUAAGGUUGGUCAUUAUCUUUCAUGGAUCAGCACGCUACCCUAAUAAUUGUAUUAGAUCCAUUGUAUUGGAUCAAUUUUAUUUCAAGUUCUAUCCCAAAUAUUAUUAAUUUAGUCGAUCUUGUUGUGAAUUGAUCCCAAUCCGAUCUAGAGUGAACCUGCAUCAAUCUUAGAUUUUAGUUAGACACUUAUCUAGUGCCAAUCUUGCUAGUUUAUAUGAAAUUUUUGAUAAUUGAUUCAAAGUUAUCUAUCACACUGAUUUUGAUCGAGAAGAAUAAGAUCUUGGAUUUAUGUUUCUCAAUGGGCUAAGCAUCUCUAAAUUGGAAGGUCUAGAUUCUUUAAAUCUUGAGGACAAUUUUUUUAAAGAGGGAAGAAUAUAAGACCAGUCCCAAAAUGGGCCAUAUUGGACUGAAGUCGGCAGGCCCAACCUACUUUAAUCCAAUUUGGAUAGAAGAAGCACAAUAGAGGAUCAUGAAGAAAGGAGGAGAGAAUGUAAGACCAGGGCCAAAAUGGGCCAUAUUGGACUAAAGUCGAUAGGCCCAAUCAACUUCAGUCCAAUUUGGAUAGAAGAAGCAGAACAGAGGAUUGCGAUUACGAUCCUCUGUUUCACCUUCCUCGGGCGUAACAGGGGUAGGUUCCGUGGCAGCCCCAUGACAGCCUGAACAAUCGCCGAUCUUGCUCAACCGUUGUGAUAAUUGUGGUAGUGAAUGAGUCGACCCAGUUUGGAAACCCUCCUAUAAAAUUCUGCCCCCCUACGGUUGAUCCACCGUCGAGCGUUCUCCUCCCUUUCCUCCCUCCUUCUCCCUUCGAUGGCCAAUAAGCGCCAUGCCUUGAAAACCCUCUUGUUCCAUUACUCAUUUUUUUGUCGGAAGCGCCGCCGCCGCCGCUAGCCUGUCGGACUAGCUACCCUUGUCCGAGAACCAUCCCCUCCAGCAACUCACCAGUGAACUCCCCUUCUCCUUGUUCUUCUAUUGCUAGAUAAUCCGAGCCUCCUUUUUCUGUCCCGGCCCCAAACCGAGGACGCCCUCGGUUUUCCUCUUCUUGUCGGUCGCCACAGUAGCCGUCGGCCACUACUGCCGUCAGCCGCCCAGCUCGGCCGCCAUCGGAUCCUUUCCUCUCUUCCCUCUUCCCUCUUCUUUCUCUUUCCCUUUCCUCCUUUUUGAGUUUAUCAGGAUAAAGAACUCUUGUGGGCCGUGUCCAUCGUAGGUCGAGUUUGGGCCCUGUUCACCAUGUUGGGUCGUAUCCAUUGUGGGCCGAGUUCAAGCCCUGUUUAUUGUGUUGGGCCAUGUCUAUUUUGGGCCGAGCUCGGGCCCUGUUUAUCCUAUUGGAACGUAUCCAUUGUGGGCCAUGUUCAGGCCCUGUUCAUCCUAUUGGGCUGUAUCCAUUUUGGGCUGAGUUCGGCCCCUGUUCACCAUGUUGGGCCGUGUCCAUUAUGGGCUGAGUUUGCACCCUGUUCAUUAUGUUAGGCCGUGUCCAUUGUGGGCCGAGUUCGGAUCCUGUUCAUUCUGUUAGGUUGUAUCUAUUGUCGGACGAGUCUAUUCAUUUUAGGCCCUGUUCAUCUAUUAUAGGCCAUGAUUAUUUGGGCCAAGUUCAUUCAUUUUUGACCCUGCUCAUCUAUUAUGGGCCAUGUCCAUUCAUUUUGGGCCCUGUUCAUCUAUUGUGGGCUGAGUCUAGUUAUUUUGGGCCCUGUUCAUCCAUUGUGGGCCGUGUUUAUUUUGGGUCGUGUCUAUUUAUUUGGGCCCUAUUUAUCCAUUGUGGGCCGAGUCCAUUUAUUUUGGGCCCCAUUCAUCCAUUUUGAAAUGUGUUCAUUCAUUUUGGGCCCUAUCCAUCCACUGUGGGCCGAGUUCAUUCAUUUGGACUGUGUUCAUCCCCGUUUUAGGCUAAAAGGAAAAACAAAACUAGCCCUUGACUUUCUUUAAUCGAGUAGAUGUAGACCUUUCUCCUAAUGGUUGGGCCGCACUCAAACCGGGCCUGUGAUCAUGAUCAAAGCAAGAAUUGGACCGAGAUUCUCUCUCUAAGCUGGACCUAUGGAUCUUAGUUUAAAGUCCUGGCUUUCUUUUUGCUCAGAUCCAAGUUGAUCUCUAGGUGGACGACCUGUACUGCCUCGAUAUCCGGACGGUAAAUUGGCCCAUUGCUUCAACCCCACCUAGAUUUGACCAUCUUUGAUCUACACCAUUUCGGAUCCGGUCUUACAUUCUCCCCUCCAUAAGAAAACUUCGUCCUCGAAAUUUGAAGAACCUAGGCCUUCAAUUUAGAGAUGCUCGACCCAUUAACAUAAAUCUAAGAUCUCAUUCUCCUCGAUCAAAAUCAGUGCGAUAGAUAACUUUGGAUCGAUUAUGAAAAAUUUCAUAUAAACUAGCAAGAUUAGCACUAGAUAAGUGUUUAGCUAAAAUCUAAGAAUGAUGCAAGUUCACUCUAGAUCGGAUUGGGAUCAAUUCACAACAAGAUCGACUAAAUCAAUUGUAUUUGGGAUAGAACUUGAAAUAAAAUUGAUCCAAUACAAUGGAUCUAAUACAAUUAUUCUAGUAGAGUGCUGAUCCACGAAAGAUAAUGACCAACCUUAUUAGUAUCAAAUCUUUAUAUGGCUGGAAAUGUGAUUCACAAAAUGAACAUGUAAUGACGGUCAUUAAACACCAAUGGUCUAUUUCGAAAAUGAUUGGGCACAAUUCACAAGAGCAAGUCCGAUAAGGCAAAGUAUUGAUACCAUGAUUUAAUAUGCCACAAAGAUUUAAAUUUAGUUUAAAUUUAUAAAUCAUAAAGAGGGAACAAUUAACACAUGACUUAUUUGGUUUCUUAAAAAAUUAGAUCAUAUUUAACCAAUGAUCAACUCACCCUAAUCAUGAAAUACUCAAAAUUUUCUUUAACAUAUCAACAAUAGAAAAAUCUAUCUGAAAGAUAACAUGGUCGUAUCAUAAUUAACUUGAGAAUCAGCAAUAUUCACAUUCCCUUAUUAAGAAAAGCCUUCUUUAUUGAAAAAUCUAGUCUUCCAUCAUAACAUAUUAGAAAACACAGUCAACGUUUUUUACCAGUUUAAAUGGCUUCCUUAGUUGAGACCAAUGGGUUUCGUAACGUGCCGUUGGCAGUUCUUGAUGAGUUUCGAGAACAAGUUUUAGAAAAUGACUUCUUGCUCCUUUUAAAGAAAAAGGUACAAAUUUUUCCUACUUCUCUAUUCAAAUUCACUCAUAUUCAAAAAAAAAAAAAAUAGAAGUAAAUUGUUAGCAAUUGUGGAAUUUAUUGGUAGGACUGGUGUGCUUGAUAUCAGGGAUGAGUUUUCAUUUUAUUCAAGUGUCCAUAGACCUUGAAUUUCAUUAUUUGUUAAUUUCUAUUGGAGAAAUUGUGGUAAGCCAUCUAUUUCAUUGACAUAAUAAAAUGAUGCUGAAGGGUCUUACCCUUCAGAUGUCAGAGAGAAUAACAAAAGCAUAGAGUAGAAAGUUAAGAGAAAAGAAGUGUUUAUUAUUUGCUAAAUUGAAGUUGGCUUCGGCUCAAUUAACUUUUAUAUAUCUUAAUGUGUCAGAUUUAGCUGAUUCUUGUCUAAAUGAAACAAGGCCAAGUGAGUCCAGUUAUUAACUAGAUGGUCAGUUUAUAUAAAUAAUGACUUAGGGAUGUGUUGCAUAGUGCAGUUUUUGGAAGGAAUGGCUCCAAGUGCGUAUGCUUUUGCCUCGGUGGAACAAUGUGGUGGUAGAUAGACCGUUACACUUUGAACUUUUCUUCCUGGAGAGUUCAAGUAAUUGGAUCAAGCUGAACCUGAACACAGUCCAAGGCUAUUGAGGAUGCUUUCUAUUUUUAAAACAACGGAGAGCUUCUUGUAGAUUCUCAGAGUUAGUUUGAAUUGUCUGAUGUAUAUGCACGAAAACUUGGCACUUGAUUGGCGAGAUCUAUUGCAUGCAUCUUACUUAGCUCAAUUGAUAUUGCUUAAAACACUUGAUAUUUUUAUGGAACAUAGCAUGGUUGUCUAGUUGUGUUAAUUUUCCUUGGGGAUUUUAUCGUUGUUUCUAUUUUUUGUAGAACUUUUUAUAUUUCCGAAUUAUUUAAUUUGCUGCUUUGCCUAUGUCACUAUUGGAACUUGCUUCCAUUUUUCCAGUGAAGUGAUAAAUCUGAUUUUGCUUUCACAACUCAAUAUUGUGACGGUUUCCUAAACUUGAAUUCUUUAUGCUUUAAUAUUAUUAUUCUAUUGUUGAUUUUAGUUCAGUCGUGGGUGACCAAAUUUAAAAUUUGACAAUAACAUUUUUGGCAGACUUUAGGUUUACAUUGUGACUACAAAUCAAGAUAUUUUGACCCAGAAUGGAGGUUACCAUGAAGCAUUUAAUUUAGAUAACCAUGUUCUACAGUGUACUUUAACUAGUUUUUCAUAAAUUAGUGGCAUUCUUGGGUAAGCUAUUGCUUACUUGAAUAAAAAAAGGAAAACAAACUAAAUUUCAAUCCUCUUCUCCUCCAAUUGCUAGCAUACAUUUUGUACGAAUCUUAGUAUGUUCUGUGCCACCUUCUUUACUCUUUGCCAUAUUUUUGAUCGAUUCCAAGGUUAUAUAUAGUUUUAUUGUUGCCUUUUUGUUGGUGAUGUCAUAAAUUCAGCGCCAUUUAAAUAUACCCCUUGUUAAAUUUAAUUCUUUCUCCUUUAACUUCAUAUUUUCUGUCUUUUAUAAUUCUGUAUAUGCUGUGAUUGUAUAAUAACUCAUAUUGGAAAAUGAUUUUAUGAAACUUAGAUUAAAUAGCUCUUAACUAGAUCUAAGUGCAAGAACUUCUAGAGACCAUGAAUAUAGAAAAUCUAGUAUAGGAUAUCUAACAUUUGUGGACCAGAUUUCUAAUAUCCUAGACAUCUGUUAUAAUAACGCAAAACCAUUUUAGCUGUUUGUGUGUGCACUAAUCGAAUAUACAUAAUCUUGUGCCAUGCCAUGUUGAAGGAGAAUAUAUGUGAAAUGAGAUCAAUCAGGAUGAUGCAUUUAUCUCUCACAUAUCUUAAGUCCUGGAAAGAAAAAAUAGUAUAAUUCACAAAAUAAGAAGAAAAAGUAGAAACCUAACCUUGCUAUCAUGACUACGGAAUUUUCUAAUGAGGCAGCCAGUUGAGAUAUCCCAAAAGAACACCUGCCGAUCUCCACUGCACGAGCAUAGCUUCGUUGGGCUUGCCAAUGCCCGCGAGCUCUCCUCCGUGGAACCCGCCAUUAGCCCUUUCGAGGCCCGGAUCACCUCCAACGGGGGGCUAGUUGACUGCUGGAAUGCACUGCGGGACCUGAAAUCAUGCACCAACGAGAUCUUGCUCUUCUUCAUGAGCGGCGAGACAUACCUGGGAGUCGUGCCUGGGACUCCAAGUACCUGGGAUCCCCAAGUCCGCUUCUUUAUGUGAAUAAGUCCGGUGCCACUCCUAUUUCCAAUUACAUUGGUGGGGUUUACUUGAGCGUUGCUACAAAGUUUGAUUGGGCUUAUACUGAUGUACUUGUCUUGUCUUGGAUCUAAAUUAAUUAUGGAUACUUUAGUUCAUAUGCUGAUUUAUAUAUGUGUUGUCUUAUCAUUGCAGAAUAUUUUACCUUAUAUGUGCAUCUGUGAGCAGUGUAUUGUACAUACGGUUUUUUGACAUAGACCAUUCUUCAUUUCUUCAUCGAUUUCUUUUUCAAUAUAGGGUUUGGAUAUGGGAUCUUAACAUAAACUUGUUAGCACCAUGUUCUAUGUAUAUGUACUUGCAUUACAAGAUUGUCUUCCCUUCUAGACCAAGAUAUGAAGAAUGGCCCAACUAUAUUGGUCUCUGUUGAAGUUUAUUCCAGGCAAUAUCUCUAAGAGAAAAAGUUUAUGAUCCUAUGAUAUGCUUCCAUGGUAUAGAAAAUUGCCCUACUUUCCGAUCUCCACAGAUUGUUUGCUUCCCAGUUUUGAUUUUGAUGAAGUGUUCUUUAUCUUUCGCAACUCCUUGCUCAUCAGCAUGCUCAACUAUAUGUUCUUUCUCAUUACCGUCUUUCCAUUUUUUCCUGGAGUCAUGCAUAGACAUAUCUUUUAAACCACUUUGAUCUCUAAGUAGUGCUAAUAUUCAAUCUAUAGUUCGCGUAUCAGAUUUCUGGCUUCUUUUGUGAUAAUUUAGGCAUUUUCAGAAUUCAUAUACUGUUCUCAAAUUAGUGCCCUUCAAAUACCCCUUCAUUCUUUUCUCCUCAUCUAUCAAUAUUCAACCCAAAUCUUUGUUCUCCUGUCUUCAGUCUUCAACAAAUACCUGAUUAAGCGGUCUUCAUCUUGAACUUCUUGCAUUGCACCUUCCUUGACCAUGUUUUAUCAUAAUCAAUUCAAUUUCAUGCAUUUGAACGAAAAGAUGACCCAUACUCUCUUCUUGAAGUGGAUGCCUUGGGCGUGAACUAUCUGGUCAUGAUAUCAUUCUGAAUCAGUACGAUGCACUUCUUUAAACAUGAGUUUGUGCUUCCCAUUUUGUAGUUGAAAUACCUUUCAUUUGAAAACUCAUGGUGAUUUCAAACACUUUACAGAAAAGUUGUGCUCACAAAAGGCAUGAAUGCCAUGUCCGAAAUGAUGCUGAGAUACUCUAGGGGCACAUUUGUUUGCUUGUAAGUGUCUGACAUGUCUGAACUUGGGUUCUAAUCAGAUGCUUGUUUCACUGUACUGAAGUCAAGUUAUUGCCACUUCAGCUGUUUCUUUUGCACGAAAUUGGUGCAUAGGAUGCGCAAUUUUUCCCACAUACAUCGUUAGAUUAUAUACAGUAAUGGUCAGUAUAUUAUUCACUUAAAUGGUUCAUUUCAAAGGACGGAGCGAGUGGGAGAGCAUUAAAUUUGCAUUAAAUUUUUGCUUAUCCACUCCCCCCUCUCUUUCUCAAACAACAAAAAAAAAACUUUUGCCUUUUUGGGUGGAUGGGAAACUUAUAUUUUAGUGUUCGGGCUUGUUACAUAAAAACAAACAGUUAGAAGUACCCACUUCCAACUGCGCUCGACUUCAGGCCCCUCGGUUAUGAGGAAAAUACGUAUCCUAGAAGCAUGAUACAUGAGUCCAAUGUAACUGGCCUAAUCCAUCACAUAACUUACUUAGCAUUUUGAGGCUUUUAACCUGCAACCUGCUAUGCCAUCUUGUGCCAUUGGAUAUAAAAUUCAACAAACACAGAUUUCCUAUUUCAUAUCAAACGUCUGGAGGAACAUGUGAAAUUUUGAGUAAUCAGCAAAAAUUUCAAGAUGGGAAGCUCGUGAUCAAUAAUAACAAUGUUUAGUCCAUCAUAAGCUUCCACUUUUCCACCUUACAUAAAAUCUCUUUCUUUUCCCCAUGAAUUUCAACACAAGAUUCCUGCAUGUCAAACAUUCUCGAAAGAAUUAGUGAUCACAUUAUAUGAACUUGAGAUAAAAGCUUUGUCAACCCAACUUAUUCGAAGGAACCCUGGAUGACAGAUCCUGAAACUCUUGGUUGAGGGAAAAUUUUAAGCAAUCGCGAUCUGAGGCCUACAUCAUCUCCAUAUUAUUGCCAGAAAAACUCUGGUUUGAUGUCUACCUUUAUUUCUUGCCAGCAGCACUUUUUUUCUCAUCACAGAUCACUGUGAAUCCAUGACAUAAAAUAUGCUGCUGAAAAGAUUUGUCAGGUCAUCUUUAUUAUUUUAUAGUAGUAGUGCUGUAGGUGGUAUAUUGGUAUGUAGCUUAAGUUUGUCAGUUGUGACAAUCACCAGAAUUCUUAUUAUUUAGUUUUAAUUGUUUGUACAAUGUGAUUAUGCAGUGUUACUCUUCUGGUGCAACUUCUUUUUCCCCUUAAAUACUAACAUUGUUGGUAGUUUCUUUUUGUUUGUUGGGAGAAGAUAAUGACAGUGCCUAGAAAAGAGAAGAAAAGAGAGGCUAGGAGUGAGGAAAAGGCUGAAGUUCUGGAUAAGAGUAUCGAGAAUGAAUUGUUGGAACGGCUCAAGAAAGGUGUUUAUGGUGACAUACAACUAUCCCGUUGAGGCAUAUAAUAAUGUCCUUGAAAUGGAGGGGCUACAACCCAGCGUUGAGGAAGAAGCUGAAUCAAGAUAGUAUUGAACGUGUGAAGAUGUGGAUGAUAGACAAAAGACACAUAUGUGAGGUUAAGACGAAGAGCUUAUUUCGUUCACAUUGGCAUCUGGCACUGCUUGUGUUGUUAACAUGUUUCGCGAGGUUAUCCUACGGAAAGCACUUGGCAGAAGCGGCAAGAGGAUAAUCUUCCCUCGCCUUAGGAUGAAAUUUUGAAGGGGGUGCCUGCGGAUGAAUAUUUUCAUGAGUUUGAUACAGUAUAGAUCCAAAAUAUUCAUGCGAAGUUCUUUUAAAAGGCAUAUUUUAUGUUUUAUUGCCCUUGUAUUUUUCUCGCCAUGAUAAAUAGGGCUUGUUAAUUUUGA
Non-coding RNA from Phoenix dactylifera (date palm), 12989 nucleotides. The record is from RefSeq and is a predicted model, not a curated record. NCBI's taxonomy places the organism in Eukaryota, Viridiplantae, Streptophyta, Magnoliopsida, Arecales, Arecaceae.